This 237-nucleotide long non-coding RNA is filed under the name Hordeum vulgare. RNAcentral describes it as "long non-coding RNA (HVUL_LNC015565)". The record is from RNAcentral. Lineage: Eukaryota; Viridiplantae; Streptophyta; Magnoliopsida; Poales; Poaceae.
CCUUGAGUUGGUCAAAUGCAUCCUGUGCCUCCUCAGUCCACUCGAACCUGUCGGAUUUGUUCCAUAGUCGGUAGAGAGGCAAGGCCUUUUCUCCGAGUCAUGAGAUAAACCUACUAAGAGUCGCGAGCCAGCCCGUGAGCCUUUGCACAUCGUGAAUGCUGUUCGGUCAUCUCAUCUGGACGAUGGCUCCGAACUUGUCGGGAUUAGCAUCGAUCCCUCCCUCCAAAACAAAAAAAC